RNAcentral lists this ribosomal RNA (437 nucleotides) under uncultured bacterium. RNAcentral describes it as "partial 16S ribosomal RNA". It matches the Rfam family "Bacterial small subunit ribosomal RNA", at positions 28 to 507 of the family's 1533-position model. The record is from RNAcentral.
GAUGAACGCUGGCGGCGUGCUUAACACAUGCAAGUCGAACGGAAAGGCGUGGUUCUUGUGGCGGACGGGUGAGUCACGCGCAAGAACAUGACAUGUGGAGGGGGACCAUAACUGGAAACGGUUGCUAAUACACCGUGGGCAGAAGAGCAAAAGAGGGAAUGCGCCCGAGGGGGGGCUGGCGACUGACUGGCUAGGUGGGGCAGUUAUAGCUUACCGAGGCGAUGAUCAGGCGCUGGUCCGAGAGGACGAUCAGCCACAAUGCUACGGAGAGACGCCGCAGGCUCCGACGGGCGGCAGCAGGGAGGAUUGCUCCGCAAUGGGCGGCCGGCUGACGCAGCACUGCGGGCUGGAUGUAGACGUCCCAGGGGUCAUCAACUUUUUCUCUCGGAGAAGAAACAAUGACGGUAUCUGAUGAAUAAGCAUCGGCUAACUCCGUG